This 302-nucleotide long non-coding RNA is filed under the name Olea europaea (common olive). Its description in RNAcentral is "long non-coding RNA (OEUR_LNC012855)". The record is from RNAcentral. Lineage: Eukaryota; Viridiplantae; Streptophyta; Magnoliopsida; Lamiales; Oleaceae.
GUGAAUGCAUUAGCAUUCAAGAUCCAAAAUGUACAAAGAGAAAGGGCGCUCCAAAAAAACUUUAGAAGAAGUCCUCGUUAGAAUGUAGUUCAAAUAAAGUGAAUGUAUGUUGCAUUAUUCGAGUACCAUAUUAAUUUUUUGUCUAUUUUUACCAUGUGCAAAUAAGAAUAAAGUUCGUGUUUCAAACAUUGUGUUACAAGUGGGUAGUAGUACAAACAAAGGGAAGAACCCCAAGGGCCGCCAAAGUAACCUCGGAGAUGGUGCAACUGUUUUUCAAACAACCCACCCAUCACAAUAUUCAA